GAUGAACGCUAGCUACAGGCUUAACACAUGCAAGUUCGAGGGGAAACGAUAUUGGAAGCUUGCUUCUGAUAGGCGUCGACCGGCGCACGGGUGAGUAACGCGUAUCCAACCUGCCCAUCACUUGGGGAUAACCUUGCGAAAGUAAGACUAAUACCCAAUGACGUCUCUAGAAGACAUCUGAAAGAGAUUAAAGAUUUAUCGGUGAUGGAUGGGGAUGCGUCUGAUUAGCCUGUUGGCGGGGUAACGGCCCACCAAGGCGACGAUCAGUAGGGGUUCCUGAGAGGAAGGUCCCCCCACAUUGGAACUGAGACACGGUCCAAACUCCUACGGGAGGCAGCAGUGAGGAAUAUUGGUCAAUGGGGAAACCCUGAUGCAGCGACGCCGCGUGAGUGAAGAAGUAUUUCGGUAUGUAAAGCUCUAUCAGCAGGGAAGAAAGUGACGGUACCUGGAGAAAAGCAACGGCUAACUACGUG
Molecule: ribosomal RNA, 473 nt
Filed under: uncultured bacterium
Lineage: Bacteria
Description: bacterial SSU rRNA
Rfam family: Bacterial small subunit ribosomal RNA
Source: RNAcentral